AGAGAUGUGAAUCCAUGUGCCUG
Molecule: non-coding RNA, 23 nt
Filed under: Arabidopsis thaliana (thale cress)
Lineage: Eukaryota; Viridiplantae; Streptophyta; Magnoliopsida; Brassicales; Brassicaceae
Source: RNAcentral